GUGGGGAAUAUUGGACAAUGGGGGGAACCCUGAUCCAGCCAUGCCGCGUGUGUGAAGAAGGCCUUUUGGUUGUAAAGCACUUUAAGUGGGGAGGAGGCUUACCUGGUUAAUACCUGGGCUAAGUGGACGUUACCCACAGAAUAAGCACCGGCUAACUCUGUGCCAGCAGCCGCGGUAAUACAGAGGGUGCGAGCGUUAAUCGGAUUUACUGGGCGUAAAGCGCGCGUAGGUGGUUAAUUAAGUCAAAUGUGAAAUCCCAGAGCUUAACUUGGGAAUUGCAUUCGAUACUGGUUGGCUAGAGUAUGGGAGAGGAUAGUAGAAUUCCAGGUGUAGCGGUGAAAUGCGUAGAGAUCUGGAGGAAUACCGAUGGCGAAGGCAGCCAUCUGGCCUAAUACUGACACUGAGGUGCGAAAGCAUGGGGAGCAAACAGGAUUAGAAACCCGGGUAGUCC
This 451-nucleotide ribosomal RNA is filed under the name uncultured bacterium. RNAcentral describes it as "partial 16S ribosomal RNA". It matches the Rfam family "Bacterial small subunit ribosomal RNA", at positions 354 to 796 of the family's 1533-position model. The record is from RNAcentral.